RNAcentral lists this transfer RNA (77 nucleotides) under Candidatus Moranbacteria bacterium RIFCSPHIGHO2_01_FULL_54_31. RNAcentral's name for it is "tRNA-Val". It matches the Rfam family "tRNA". From Rfam's summary of the family: Transfer RNA (tRNA) molecules are approximately 80 nucleotides in length. Their secondary structure includes four short double-helical elements and three loops (D, anti-codon, and T loops). Lineage: Bacteria; Candidatus Moraniibacteriota. RNAcentral also lists the same sequence under 1 other name. The record is from RNAcentral.
GGAUGAUUAGCUCAGUUGGUUAGAGCGUCACAUUGACAUUGUGAAGGUCACUGGUUCGAAUCCAGUAUCAUCCACCA